GCAGUGGUGGUUCAGUGGUAGAAUUCUUGUCUUCCAUGCAAGAGACCUGGGUUUGAUUCCCAGACGGUGCU
This 71-nucleotide transfer RNA is filed under the name Loxodonta africana (African savanna elephant). It matches the Rfam family "tRNA". Rfam says of the family: Transfer RNA (tRNA) molecules are approximately 80 nucleotides in length. Their secondary structure includes four short double-helical elements and three loops (D, anti-codon, and T loops). Further hydrogen bonds mediate the characteristic L-shaped molecular structure. tRNAs have two regions of fundamental functional importance: the anti-codon, which is responsible for specific mRNA codon recognition, and the 3' end, to which the tRNAs corresponding amino acid is attached (by aminoacyl-tRNA synthetases). tRNAs cope with the degeneracy of the genetic code in two manners: having more than one tRNA (with a specific anti-codon) for a particular amino acid; and 'wobble' base-pairing, i.e. permitting non-standard base-pairing at the 3rd anti-codon position. Lineage: Eukaryota; Metazoa; Chordata; Mammalia; Proboscidea; Elephantidae. The record is from Rfam by way of RNAcentral.